This 446-nucleotide ribosomal RNA is filed under the name uncultured bacterium. Its description in RNAcentral is "partial 16S ribosomal RNA". It matches the Rfam family "Bacterial small subunit ribosomal RNA", at positions 338 to 795 of the family's 1533-position model. The record is from RNAcentral.
CCUACGGGUGACAGCAGUCGAGAAUCAUUCACAAUGGGGGAAACCCUGAUGCUGCGACGCCGCGUGGGGGAAUGAAGGUCUUCGGAUUGUAAACACCUGUCAUGUGGGAGCAAAUUAAAAAGAUAGUACCACAAGAGGAAGAGACGACUAACUCGGUGCCAGCAGCCGCGGUAAUACAGAGGUCUCAAGCGUUGUUCGGAAUCACUGGGCGUAAGGCGUGCGUAGGCUGUUUCGUAAGUCGUGUGUGAAAGGCGCGGGCUCAACCCGCGGACGGCACAUGAUACUGCGAGACUAGAGUAAUGGAGGGGGAACCGGAAUUCUCGGUGUAGCAGUGAAAUGCGUAGAUAUCGAGAGGAACACUCGUGGCGAAGGCGGGUUCCUGGACAUUAACUGACGCUGAGGCACGAAGGCCAGGGGAGCGAAAGGGAUUAGAUACCCUGGUAGUC